GGACAGUGUCUGGUGGGUAGUUUGACUGGGGCGGUCUCCUCCUAAAGAGUAACGGAGGAGCACGAAGGUUGGCUAAUCCUGGUCGGACAUCAGGAGGUUAGUGCAAUGGCAUAAGCCAGCUUGACUGCGAGCGUGACGGCGCGAGCAGGUGCGAAAGCAGGUCAUAGUGAUCCGGUGGUUCUGAAUGGAAGGGCCAUCGCUCAACGGAUAAAAGGUACUCCGGGGAUAACAGGCUGAUACCGCCCAAGAGUUCAUAUCGACGGCGGUGUUUGGCACCUCGAUGUCGGCUCAUCACAUCCUGGGGCUGAAGUAGGUCCCAAGGGUAUGGCUGUUCGCCAUUUAAAGUGGUACGCGAGCUGGGUUUAGAACGUCGUGAGACAGUUCGGUCCCUAUCUGCCGUGGGCGCUGGAGAACUGAGGGGGGCUGCUCCUAGUACGAGAGGACCGGAGUGGACGCAUCACUGGUGUUCGGGUUGUCAUGCCAAUGGCACUGCCCGGUAGCUAAAUGCGGAAGAGAUAAGUGCUGAAAGCAUCUAAGCACGAAACUUGCCCCGAGAUGAGUUCUCCCUGACUCCUUGAGAGUCCUGAAGGAACGUUGAAGACGACGACGUUGAUAGGCCGGGUGUGUAAGCGCAGCGAUGCGUUGAGCUAACCGGUACUAAUGAACCGUGAGGCUUAACCUU
RNAcentral lists this ribosomal RNA (682 nucleotides) under Escherichia coli. RNAcentral describes it as "partial 23S ribosomal RNA". It matches the Rfam family "Bacterial large subunit ribosomal RNA", at positions 2249 to 2925 of the family's 2925-position model. RNAcentral also lists the same sequence under 1 other name. The record is from RNAcentral. Lineage: Bacteria; Pseudomonadati; Pseudomonadota; Gammaproteobacteria; Enterobacterales; Enterobacteriaceae.